RNAcentral lists this unclassified non-coding RNA (343 nucleotides) under soil metagenome. Its description in RNAcentral is "partial contains 5.8S ribosomal RNA, internal transcribed spacer 2, and large subunit ribosomal RNA". The stretch from base 1 to 120 matches the Rfam family "5.8S ribosomal RNA", at positions 35 to 154 of the family's 154-position model. The record is from RNAcentral.
GAUGAAGAACGUAGCGAAACGCGAUAAGUAAUGUGAAUUGCAGAAUCCAGUGAAUCAUCGAAUCUUUGAACGCACAUUGCGCCCGCCAGCAUUCUGGCGGGCAUGCCUGUGCGAGCGUCAUUUCAACCCUCGACCUCCCCUUGGGGAGGUCGGCGUUGGGGACCGGCAGCACACCGCCGGCCCUGAAAUGGAGUGGCGGCCCGUCCGCGGCGACCUCUGCGCAGUAAUACAGCUCGCACCGGGACCCCGACGCGGCCACGCCGUAAAACACCCAACUUCUGAACGUUGACCUCGAAUCAGGUAGGACUACCCGCUGAACUUAAGCAUAUCAAUAAGCGGAGGA